This 710-nucleotide unclassified non-coding RNA is filed under the name Hevea brasiliensis (rubber tree). The record is from RNAcentral. Lineage: Eukaryota; Viridiplantae; Streptophyta; Magnoliopsida; Malpighiales; Euphorbiaceae.
GGAAAAAUUAACAAAUGGGAAUAUGAUAUAAGUUUGGGAAGAAGGAAAAAAUAACAACAUAGGAAUUAUAUGUUCUGGCAUGGAGGUCUUAUAAUUCAUGCAUGCUAAGAUUGAUAAUUCAAUUAAGCAAUAUAAAAAAUCUAAUUGGCAGAAGAUGAGAGAAACUACUGAGAUAAUGAAAAAUGCAAGAAUUGUUUAUUGCAGCACAAAAAAACAAAAGUAAGAAUUGUUUGUUGAUUAUAGCAGAAAAUUCAAAAAGUUGUUCAUUAUACCAGACAACGACAGUAAAGGGGCAGGUUUUGGUGGAGGAGAUGUGAAUGAGAAAGGGCGGUCAGUUGUGUCCAUAUUAAUUGAACCUAGUCCACUUGGAAUGGAAUAUUUCAUCAAUUUCAAAAAAUAGAGCUGUUAGAAUGCUAGCUAUUUGUGUGUAACGUGUGUGUGAAUACUGUGAUUAUGGUUAUAGAGAUUAUAGGCUAUAAUUAUAUGAUUGAUUGCAUUACCUAAUUGAUGUAUUCUCAACCUGUAUAUAAACCCCAUAGCUUGAGGGAAUAAUCAAGCAAUUCGUUCCAAUUUCUCAUCUCUAUUCUUUUCUUCUUCUCUAUUUCGACAAGAGCAUUUCAUCAUGCAAUUCUUCAUAUUGAUGCACCAACCAGUAAAAUGACUAUUCCUAGGGAAUGGAAAAGCUAUUUUUAAGUAAUAGGCAACUACUC